AGCUUAUUUCUUUUGUUUUUGUUAUAGGAUGAUGGUCUAGCCUUUGACUUAACUGAAGAGCCUGUGUUACUAUAUUUGGUUCUUUGGUAUCUACAUCCGUUUGUAUUACACGUUUUACUAUAAGUUCUGUUAAUGUUGUUAGAAGCGAAUUGGCUUCUUCAACAAAUUUGGCAAUUUGUACGAAAUAAAGGAUUGGAAAUUAAUUUUAAAGUCCUCUAAAGGACUCUAACGGAGGCAUUGAGUCUUCAUCUUCAGCUCUGGGCAGCUGGAAUAACAUGUCAGCACUGUGACCCUGGGUGAAAGUAGCAGCCACUACAUCUGAUCUGAAACAUUUGUGUGUGGUAUAAGAAGUCUUAAGACCUGCCACUCCAUUAGCCUUUGACCUGAAUCUCUAGUGAACACAAGAGUCCAGCACAUGUGUCCUCAGCCCAUGAACAUCUUUGAUGCAAUCAUCUCCAUGUAUCUGCUAUCAGUGAGAGCAAG
Long non-coding RNA from Rhineura floridana, 483 nucleotides. RefSeq lists it as uncharacterized. The transcript is spliced from 4 exons. The record is from RefSeq and is a predicted model, not a curated record. Lineage: Eukaryota; Metazoa; Chordata; Lepidosauria; Squamata; Rhineuridae.